GUGCCAGCAGCCGCGGUAAAACCAGCACCUCGAGUGGUCAGGAGGUUUAUUGGGCCUAAAGCAUCCGUAGCCGGUUGCACAAGUUUCCGGUUAAAUCCACAUGCUUAACAUUUGGGCUGCCGGAAAUACUGUGCAACUAGGGAGUGGGAGAGGUAGGCGGUACUCGGUAGGAAGGGGUAAAAUCCUUUGAUCUAUUGAUGACCACCUGUGGCGAAGGCGGUCUACCAGAACACGUUCGACGGUGAGGGAUGAAAGCUGGGGGAGCAAACCGGAUUAGAUACCCGGGUAGUCCCAGCUGUAAACGAUGCAGACUCGGUGAUGCAUUGGCUUAUGGCCAGUGCAGUGCCGCAGAGAAGUCGUUAAGUCUGCCGCCUGGGAAGUACGUACGCAAGUAUGAAACUUAAAGGAAUUGGCGGGGGAGCACCACAAGGGGUGAAGCCUGCGGUUCAAUUGGAGUCAACGCCAGAAAUCUUACCCGGGGCGACAGCAGAAUGAAGGUCAAGCUGAAGACUUUACCAGACAAGCUGAGAGGUGGUGCAUGGCCGUCGCCAGCUCGUGCCGUGAGAUGUCCUGUUAAGUCAGGUAACGAGCGAGACCCUUGCCUCUAGUUGCCACCAUUACUCUCUGGAGUAGUGGGGCGAAUUAGCGGGACCGCCACAGUUAAUGUGGAGGAAGGAGAGGGCCACGGCAGGUCAGUAUGCCCCGAAACCCUGGGGCCACACGCGGGCUGCAAUGGUAGUGACAACGUGUUCCGAAUCCUAAAGGAGGAGGUAAUCAUCAAACGCUACCACAGUUAUGACUGAGGGCUGCAACUCGCCCUCACGAAUAUGGAAUCCCUAGUAACUGCGCGUCAUUACCGCGCGGUGAAUACGUCCCUGCUCCUUGCACACACCGCCCGUCGUUUCAUCGAAGUUGGCUUUUAGCGAGGUGACGUCUUGUUGGCGUUAUCGAACUUGAGGUCAGUGACGAGGGAAAAGUCGUAACAAGGUAACC
This 993-nucleotide ribosomal RNA is filed under the name uncultured archaeon. Its description in RNAcentral is "bacterial SSU rRNA". It matches the Rfam family "Archaeal small subunit ribosomal RNA", at positions 455 to 1448 of the family's 1478-position model. The record is from RNAcentral.